This 74-nucleotide transfer RNA is filed under the name Merluccius polli (Benguela hake). It matches the Rfam family "tRNA". From Rfam's summary of the family: Transfer RNA (tRNA) molecules are approximately 80 nucleotides in length. Their secondary structure includes four short double-helical elements and three loops (D, anti-codon, and T loops). Further hydrogen bonds mediate the characteristic L-shaped molecular structure. tRNAs have two regions of fundamental functional importance: the anti-codon, which is responsible for specific mRNA codon recognition, and the 3' end, to which the tRNAs corresponding amino acid is attached (by aminoacyl-tRNA synthetases). tRNAs cope with the degeneracy of the genetic code in two manners: having more than one tRNA (with a specific anti-codon) for a particular amino acid; and 'wobble' base-pairing, i.e. permitting non-standard base-pairing at the 3rd anti-codon position. Lineage: Eukaryota; Metazoa; Chordata; Actinopteri; Gadiformes; Merlucciidae. The record is from Rfam by way of RNAcentral.
GUUUCUGUAGUGUAGUAGUUAUCACGUUUGCCUCACACGCGAAAGGUCCCCCGGUUCGAAACCGGGCAGAAACA